RNAcentral lists this ribosomal RNA (379 nucleotides) under Ehrlichia canis. Its description in RNAcentral is "bacterial SSU rRNA". It matches the Rfam family "Bacterial small subunit ribosomal RNA", at positions 74 to 483 of the family's 1533-position model. The record is from RNAcentral. Lineage: Bacteria; Pseudomonadati; Pseudomonadota; Alphaproteobacteria; Rickettsiales; Anaplasmataceae.
UAGCCUCUGGCUAUAGGAAAUUGUUAGUGGCAGACGGGUGAGUAAUGCGUAGGAAUCUACCUAGUAGUACGGAAUAGCCAUUAGAAAUGGUGGGUAAUACUGUAUAAUCCCCGAGGGGGAAAGAUUUAUCGCUAUUAGAUGAGCCUACGUUAGAUUAGCUAGUUGGUGAGGUAAUGGCUUACCAAGGCUAUGAUCUAUAGCUGGUCUGAGAGGACGAUCAGCCACACUGGAACUGAGAUACGGUCCAGACUCCUACGGGAGGCAGCAGUGGGGAAUAUUGGACAAUGGGCGAAAGCCUGAUCCAGCUAUGCCGCGUGAGUGAAGAAGGCCUUCGGGUUGUAAAACUCUUUCAAUAGGGAAGAUAAUGACGGUACCUAUA